UGGGCCACGUUGGAGCCCGUUUUGAGAUACCGCGGAUGCACUGGGCCAAGAGACCCAACAACUAAUGCAGAGAGCCAGGUUUACACACGUACUCGAUUAUUUUUUCUCUUUCCGCAGCAGUGGAGUCGAACUCCAUCCAGCUUCCUCGCACAGAUUUGGCGCGGCGCCGGAGCUGACACGAUCUCCUACUCCGCCUCUCGGUAAUCGGAUGCCUGGACCUCAGUAAGAGCUUCGGGAUACUUUCGCGUUCAUCUCGAUCCAAGGCGUCGUUUCAAGCUAGAUCUGGCGCAGAGAUGAGGCUCAUGUCCACGAAGCGGCACCGGCACCGGCACCAUCACCGCCGGCAAAUCCAGGACGAUGAUCAGUACGCCAACACUACCUAGCAAAUUCGUCCACCUCAAAUACUUGCGCUUUACUCUACAUGAAGAUGAGGCUAUUUCACCAGCCUACGAUUAUCUUUCUCUAGUUUCUUUUCUUGAAGCUUCUCCUUGCUUGGAGACCUUCAUCUUUCAAGUGAUCCAGCAGGGUAUGAAGCAUGAUUCGAUCAUUGGAGAUUCCUCACAUCUGAGACAGCUGCCAGAACAUCGCCAUGACAAGCUAAAGAGUGUGGCAAUUGGUGGCUUCUGCUCUGCCAAGAGCUUGGUCGAGUUGACAUGUCAUAUUGUUGAGAAUGCAACAUCACUUGAGUUCCUUUUAUUGGAUACCACUCAAGGUAGUUUCAGCUCUGAUGGGUGUUCCGUGGAUAAACCUGGCAAAUGUGUCGCUAUGGGGAGGGAUAUCCUCUUGGAGGCAUGUAGAGCUCGUUUGGCUAUCAGAACACACAUUGAGGGAAUAAUUCCCUCUAGAGUUAAAUUAGAUGUUGUCGAGCCUUGCAGUCGAUGCCAUGAUGUUCAGUAUAUAGAUAAAGUUAGCAUCGCUGUGUAAUGUUCAAUCAUGUAAACAUUAAAUUCUUGUGUAAUGUUUAAUCUAGCUCAUGAGUAUUUAUUUGAGAAUGGAAUUGGUGAUUAGUUCAUGAGUAUUUAUUUUAUAUUUCUUGACCUUUUCCCUCUGUCAUCUCUUGUCGAUUUAUAUUUAAUCUCUAGGUACAGUUCCUUUAUCAAGUCUCUGCUGUCCAGAGGAUCCGCUCACAUAUACUAAUUGUUCCUUUUUUUUCUCCAUAGACUAAUUGCAUUUAAACCGAUUGUUUUGGGCUGCUCAGCUGAUAUAAACUGCAGCUCAAAUGAUUUAAUGAUUUCUCUUUUCACCUUUUGCUUCAGGCUAUAAUUACACACCUUACAGAGAUACUCUAUCCAAGUCAAGUGAUAUUCAUGAAGGAAGAAAAAUGAGGAUAUACAUUCUUCAAAUAGAACGAAGCUAUUGACAUGUCAUCUCGCAAACGCACUGGGCCUCCCACCCCAUUCCAAGAUAUAAGCAACGGCCAAGACUUGGGUAAGUAACAGCCACCGGCACCUACUAAAUGCCUCAUAUUAUUUUAGUGUAAUGAACGCUA
Brachypodium distachyon (stiff brome) is the source of this 1489-nucleotide long non-coding RNA. RefSeq lists it as uncharacterized. The record is from RefSeq and is a predicted model, not a curated record. Lineage: Eukaryota; Viridiplantae; Streptophyta; Magnoliopsida; Poales; Poaceae. The transcript has 4 exons.